AUUGAACGCUGGCGGCAUGCCUUACACAUGCAAGUCGAACGGUAACGCGGGGCAACCUGGCGACGAGUGGCGAACGGGUGAGUAAUGCAUCGGAACGUGCCCAGUAGUGGGGGAUAGCCCGGCGAAAGCCGGAUUAAUACCGCAUACGACCUACGGGUGAAAGCGGGGGACCGUAAGGCCUCGCGCUAUUGGAGCGGCCGAUGUCAGAUUAGGUUGUUGGUGGGGUAAAAGCCUACCAAGCCGACGAUCUGUAGCUGGUCUGAGAGGACGACCAGCCACACUGGGACUGAGACACGGCCCAGACUCCUACGGGAGGCAGCAGUGGGGAAUUUUGGACAAUGGGGGCAACCCUGAUCCAGCCAUGCCGCGUGCGGGAAGAAGGCCUUCGGGUUGUAAACCGCUUUUGUCAGGGAGGAAACGCUCUGGGCUAAUACCCUGGGGUAAUGACGGUACCUGAAGAAUAAGCACCGGCUAACUACGUGCCAGCCGCCGCAGUAA
This 498-nucleotide ribosomal RNA is filed under the name uncultured bacterium. RNAcentral's name for it is "partial 16S ribosomal RNA". It matches the Rfam family "Bacterial small subunit ribosomal RNA", at positions 29 to 523 of the family's 1533-position model. The record is from RNAcentral.